UAUGGUUAAGUGACUAAGCGUACACGGUGGAUGCCUUGGCAGUCAGAGGCGAUGAAAGGCGUAAUAACUUGCGAUAAGCCCAGAUUAGGUAGUAAUAACCUUUUGAGUCUGGGAUUCCUGAAUGGGGAAACCCACUUACAUAAGUAAGUAUCCUGUUGUGAAUACAUAGCAACAGGAGGCAAACCGGGGGAACUGAAACA
This 200-nucleotide ribosomal RNA is filed under the name Vibrio crassostreae. Its description in RNAcentral is "partial 23S ribosomal RNA". It matches the Rfam family "Bacterial large subunit ribosomal RNA", at positions 1 to 200 of the family's 2925-position model. The record is from RNAcentral. Lineage: Bacteria; Pseudomonadati; Pseudomonadota; Gammaproteobacteria; Vibrionales; Vibrionaceae.